Plesiomonas shigelloides 302-73 is the source of this 167-nucleotide regulatory RNA element. It matches the Rfam family "Lysine riboswitch aptamer". Rfam says of the family: Riboswitches are metabolite binding domains within certain messenger RNAs that serve as precision sensors for their corresponding targets. Allosteric rearrangement of mRNA structure is mediated by ligand binding, and this results in modulation of gene expression. This family includes riboswitches that sense lysine in a number of genes involved in lysine metabolism, including lysC. The record is from Rfam. NCBI's taxonomy places the organism in Bacteria, Pseudomonadati, Pseudomonadota, Gammaproteobacteria, Enterobacterales, Enterobacteriaceae.
CGGGCCAGAAGAGGUGCGUCAUUCAGGCAGCUGCCGGUCAACCGGAAAUUUGCGGCAGUCAGGGGAAUGUACGCCGAGAUAGUUCAGGGUUCCGGAGCCCUGCCUAUCGGCCGCGGAGGCUGAAUCCUUCCGGCUGUCACCUUGCGAGGUGGAGCGCUUCUGGGUGC